GGUCCGUUCAUCUAUCGGUUAGGAUCUCUGGUUUUCAUCCAGGAAAGGGGGGUUCGAUUCCCCCACGGACUA
This is a non-coding RNA of Flavobacterium frigoris, 72 nucleotides long. Lineage: Bacteria; Pseudomonadati; Bacteroidota; Flavobacteriia; Flavobacteriales; Flavobacteriaceae. The record is from Rfam.